This 2975-nucleotide long non-coding RNA is filed under the name Eucalyptus grandis. RNAcentral describes it as "long non-coding RNA (EGRA_LNC001227)". Lineage: Eukaryota; Viridiplantae; Streptophyta; Magnoliopsida; Myrtales; Myrtaceae. The record is from RNAcentral.
UUCCAUGACCUAAUAACGAAUUAACAAAAUGCAAUCAAGAUCACAUAUGCAUGAGCAGUUUCCAGAAUCCAUCGGAUAGUGAAUUUUUCUACUUCACAGAAGUUGGAUAGAAGUAUUACUUUAUUUACACAAGCGCAGAUCGAUACCAUGUCAAGAAUGAAGAAUCUCAUGCUAUUUGACUGAAGACAUCAAAUAUCCUUUUGGAGGCAAUCUGAUCUUUUUAUUUCAUUUCAUGAUCACGAGCCAUCUAACACACAAGCAUUACACUUACUUUGCUCAAACAACUUCCUCCAGUUGCUGGAAUUAAGGCAGGAAAAUAAUAUCUCGUCAAAGAAAAGCCUUGUCCAAACUGAAAAUACUAAUGGAAGCAGUGGAGAUUACGGCACUAUACCUGCUAUAUUUUUUGUUUAGUAGGAAUGUUAGCAAUCUCAGAAUUAGAUCUUUUCUCUCUCUCUCUCUCUUAUCUCCAUUUUCUUUCUAUAUGAUCUCUCAAUUUAAGAGGGAGCUAAGCAUCUCUUUUUUCUCCCAUUAAGCCAACGACCACUUUCCUUGUUUAGUUGACUUUUCAACCUUCUCUUUUGUUUUUUUGUUUUUUUCUUAGGCCCCAGAAGUUCAUUUUUACUUGGUCAAAACCCAAGUAUUACAGUAACUUCAUCACCAUAAGUCAAUUACAACAUACUGCACCAAACUACUAGGGAUAAGAAUUAACACCAAAUCAGUAACUCCUCUACCAAUUGGCGUGCUUCAACUCUUAAACUUGCGGAUGAACACCCCAAACUAGCUUUUAUGUAUUAAUGUAAAAAUAUAGUACACUUGUUCAACAAAAGCAAAUUUGAACAGUGACAUAAUUAUCUGCAACAAUCAAAUUGGACAGAACAAAUGUUGCUUAUUUUAUGGCAGCAACAUCUAAAGCCUCCAAACUAAGCUCCAAAGAUUGAUCUUCUUCCUUACCAUUCCACAAUCAAGCUUCCUAAGCAGCACAGAUGGAGUUUUUGAAGGCGAAUCAGGGAGAGACUCAACAACGGAACAAUGCAGCACCAGCGAUUGAGGGCACGGCUCAAUCGUGGACCAACCUUCUUGCCCAACAUGAGAAAAUGUCGCAAAAGCUAAGGAACAGACAAUAAGUUGGCCAAAGCAGUCUCCACCCCUGCAUCAAACAUAACCCAUCCCCACUAGAGACGCAAUCUUCAAAUUCAUAGUUGAACUAACCAACAACCAAAUAUUUCUCAAGCACAACUCAAUGUCGUUCUUCGACACCUUUUUGUUAACUGAAAUCUUCAGGUAACUUAAAAGAAAAGCUACUUACUGUCAGAUUCAGUCAACUUUGUACUCUGAAUUUCACAUCAGUGCAGGCGACAGUCGACUAGCAUAGAGUUUGUAACCUUCAAAAAGCAAGACCAUCACAUUAUAGAGGAUCCAUACAGAGGAUGACAGAAUGAAAACCAACCAUGCAAAUAGAAACAAAUUAAAUGGUGUUUCUGUUGCAACAUUAGAAAUCAGAAGGUACAUCCGGACCUUGUCAGCAAGACAAGAAUUAUUUUGCUACAAUUGGCCAUAAAAUGCAAACUUUUAUGUUUCUGAAGGUUUGAAGCACUGAGUAUUGAAUAAAAGACACAUUGCAAAUGCUAAAAACAAUAGUAUAGAUGAAAGUUAGAAGCAAAAGUUCUUCCAAACACACCAUAGUGUCAGAGCUCAAUAACCCCUAGUGAAAGAAGAAACCAAUGGACUUCUAUUAUCACAGUUCAAGCUUUUGCAUUUUCCCCCAGUCAGAAGGAGAUGAGGAGAAUUCCAUUCAAAUAGAAAGCUAGCAAAAAAAAAAAAAAAAGUAAGGACAAAAUGAACAAGCCAUAUCACCAUCACAACAAUUCGGACAUUAGCAUCCUUUUCCGUGUGAAAUUAGCUGCCUUCAACACCAUUUCACCACGUUAUUAGCUAACUGGUAUGAGUGAGGACAUCCUCGGAGAAUCUUAUCAGAAGGAAGUCCACAUACUCAUGAAGAAAAUGAUACUUUGGAUCAUAGGUACAAACAAAUGGUUCACAGGAGAUUGUUCAUCUUUCCACUUCUCAUCACCCCUCAAGGAUCCGAGAACAUGAAAGAAAUGGCUAUGAAAGUAGAACCUCAUCAAUCAAGGUAAUCUUCCCGUUCAACCUAAAGUUAGUUCACAUUAGUUCCAACAACUCUGCAGUCAAUUUCCAUGCUACCUAGACAGGGUGAUAAAAUCAACCUAAACUUGUAAUAGGCUUGUAAGUCUUGAUAAUCUUGCUAUACUUGCUCUAUGACUGCUCAGAUAACAUAAGGAAAAUUCACCACCAUUGACAGGAAACCUAAUCGAAAGCUGCUAUAGCUAUCUCAUUACACCAUAGCAAACUAGUAGAAGAGAAUAACCGAGUAGAUUUCUGCACCUAACAGGAAUCACAAGCUGAUAAAUAUAACAGGACAACUAAACAUGCUUCACUGAACAUGCAGAAAAGCUCUAAUUAGUCUUAUUUUAUUUCCUCCAUGUGCAGACAUCGAACAUCCAAAAUCAGACCAAUAAUAGCAACUCAAAACCUCAAAUCACCAGGAUGCGCAUGCACCAAUCACAACAAGAAUCAAACCAAUCAAUCGGUGACAAGAAUGGAUUAAUGUUAAAAGGGGUCCAAUCACCUGGACUCUGAAGAUACGGCAACCAGAAGCAAUGAAGACCCAACAUGAAGAUCCUUCCAUUCAAGCUGGAGCACAAGGGUCAAAGCAAUCAGUGAGCAUGAAUCUCACUUUCGAAUUAGUCAUCCCAUCGUCGUCCACCAGAAGGAAGACAGAAACGGACCACCAGAUGAUGCUGGACCCCUCAAUCUCUUCCCGUUCUCUCUGUGCUCGAUUUCCACCCUCCUCUUCUUACACCCAUCCCUAGAAUCACAAGAAGCAAUGCAAUCAGCUUAAAGAGCGUCCUCCUUCAUCCAUAUCCCAGAUAUUUGGUUUGGAUCUCACACCAUUG